GCUUAACCUGGGAACUGCAUUUGAAACUGGCAGGCUAGAGUCUCGUAGAGGGGGGUAGAAUUCCAGGUGUAGCGGUGAAAUGCGUAGAGAUCUGGAGGAAUACCGGUGGCGAAGGCGGCCCCCUGGACGAAGACUGACGCUCAGGUACGAAAGCGUGGGGAGCAAACAGGAUUAGAUACCCUGGUAGUCCACGCUGUAAACGAUGUCGAUUUGAAGGUUGUGGUCUUGAGCCGUGGCUUUCGGAGCUAACGCGUUAAAUCGACCGCCUGGGGAGUACGGCCGCAAGGUUAAAACUCAAAUGAAUUGACGGGGGCCCGCACAAGCGGUGGAGCAUGUGGUUUAAUUCGAUGCAACGCGAAGAACCUUACCUACUCUUGACAUCCAGAGAACUGAGCAGAGAUGCUUGGGUGCCUUCGGGAACUGUGAGACAGGUGCUGCAUGGCUGUCGUCAGCUCGUGUUGUGAAAUGUUGGGUUAAGUCCCGCAACGAGCGCAACCCUUAUCCUUUGUUGCCAGCGAUUCGGUCGGGAACUCAAAGGAGACUGCCGGUGAUAAACCGGAGGAAGGUGGGGAUGACGUCAAGUCAUCAUGGCCCUUACGAGUAGGGCUACACACGUGCUACAAUGGCGCAUACAAAGAGAAGCGAUCUCGCGAGAGUCAGCGGACCUCAUAAAGUGCGUCGUAGUCCGGAUUGGAGUCUGCAACUCGACUCCAUGAAGUCGGAAUCGCUAGUAAUCGUGGAUCAGAAUGCCACGGUGAAUACGUUCUCGGGCCUUGUACACACCGCCCGUCACACCAUGGGAGUGGGUUGCAAAAGAAGUAGGUAGCUUAACCUUAGGGAGGGCGUUUACCACUUUGUGAUUCAUGACUGGGGUGAAGUCGUAACAAGGUAACC
Molecule: ribosomal RNA, 894 nt
Filed under: uncultured bacterium
Lineage: Bacteria
Description: bacterial SSU rRNA
Rfam family: Bacterial small subunit ribosomal RNA
Source: RNAcentral